Molecule: long non-coding RNA, 3127 nt
Organism: Peromyscus californicus insignis
Lineage: Eukaryota; Metazoa; Chordata; Mammalia; Rodentia; Cricetidae
Exons: 5
Source: RefSeq, a predicted model, not a curated record
AAAAAAAAAACCCAAAAAACUCUCUCAACCUAAAAAAGCCCAGGGCCAGGUAGUUUUAGUAGGGAAUUCUACCAGACUUUCAAAGAAAAAUUAACACCGAUAUUCCUUACAUUAUUCCACAAAAUGGAAACAGAAGAAACAUUGCAAAAACUCAUUUUAUGAGGCCACAGUUACUCUGAUACCCAAACCACAGAAAGACUAAACAAAAAAGAGAAUUGUAGACCAACUUCCAUCAUGAACAUAGAUGUAAAAAUACUCAAUAAAAUACUUGCAAACCAAAUACAAGAACACAUCAAAAAGAUUAUUCAUCAUGAUCAAGUAUACUUCAUUACAGAGAUGCAGAGAUGCUUCAACAUAUGAAAAUCAGUCAAUGUAAUCCACCACAUAAAUAAACUGAAAGAAAAAAAAAACUACAUGAUUAUCUCAUUAGAUGCUGAAAAGGCCUUUGACAUAAUCCAGCACCCCUUCAUGAUAAUAGUACUGGAGAGAUAAGGACUACAAAGGAUAUACCCAAACACAAUCAAGGCAAUUAACAAAAAGUCUGUAGCCAACAUCAGAUUAAAUGGAGAGAAAUUCAAAGCAUUUCCACUAAAAUCAGGAACAAGACAAGGUUGUCCACUCUCUCCGUAUCUAUUCAAUAUAGUAUUUAAAGUUCUAGCUAGAACAGUAAGACAAUUGAAGGAGAUCAAAGGGAUAAAAAUUGGAUAGGAAGAAGUAAAAGUAUCUUUAUUUACAGAUGAUAUGAUAGUAUACAUUAGUGAUCCUAAAAAUUCCACCCAGAACUUCUACAGCUGGUAAACACUUUCAACAAGUAACAGGAUACAAAAUUGACUAAUAAAAACUAAUAAUUUUCAUAUAUACAAAUGACAAAUAGACUGAGAAACAAACUAGGGAAACAACAUCAUUCACAAUAACCUCAAAUAAUAUAAAGUAUCUUGGGGUAACUCUAACCAAGCAAGUGAAAGACUUGUAUAAUAAAACUGCAAAUCUUUAGAGAAAGAAAUUGAAGAAGAUGAUAUCAGAAGAUGGCCAUCUUACCAAAAGCUAUCUACAGAUUCAACACAAUCACCAUCAAAAUUAUUCCAACAAAAUUCUUUACAGACCUUGAAAGGAUAAUUCUCAACUUCAAAUGGAAAAACAAAAACAGCUAAAACAAUCCUGUACAAUAAAAGAGCUUUUGGAGGUAUCACCAUUCCUGAUUUUAAGCUAUACCACAGAGCAAUAGUAAUAAAAACUGCAUGGUAUUGGCAUUAAAAGUAGACAGGUUGAUUAAUGUAAUCAAAUCAAAGACCCAGAAAUAAAUCCACACACCUAUGGACACUUGAUUUUUGACAAAGAAGUCAAAAUUAUAUAAUGGAAAAAAGAAAGCAUCUUCAACAAAUGAUGCUGGUCUAACUGGAUGUCUGCUUGUAGAAGAAUGAAAAUAGAUCCAUAUCUAUUACCCUGCACAAAACUCAAGUCCAAGUGGAUCAAGACCUCAACAUAAAACCAGAUACACUGAACCUGAUAGAAGAGAAAAUGGGGAAUAGCCUCGAAUGCAUUGGCACAGGAGACAACUUUCUGAACAGAACAUUGAUAGCACAGGCACUAAGAUCAACAAUUAAUAAAUGGGACCUCAUGAAACCUAAAGGCUUCUGUAAGGCAAAGGACACCAUCAGACAAAAUGGUUGUCUACAGAAUGGGGAAAGAUUUUUACCAACUUUCCACAUCUGACAGAGGGCUAAUAUCCAAAAUAUAUAAAUAACUCAAUAAACUAGAUAUCAAAAAACACUAAACAAUCUAAUUUAAAUAUGGGGUAUAGAUAUAAACAGAGAAUUCUCACUAGAGGAUUCUCAAAUGGCUGAGAAACACUUAAAGAAAUGUUCAACAUCCUUAGCAAAUCAAAUCAGGGAAAUGCAAAUCAAAACAACUUUGAGAUUCCAUCUUAUACCUGUCAGAAUGGCAGCUCAUGCUGAAGAGGAUGUGGAGCAAGGGGAACACUCCUUCACUGCUGGUGGGAGUGCAAACUUGUAUAUCCACUAGGGAAAUCAAUAUGGCAAUUCCUCAGAGAAUUUGGAAUCUAUCUACCUCAAGACUCAGCUAUACCACUCUUGGGGAUAUACCCAAAGGACAUUCCAUCCAACACAAGGACACCUGCUCAACCAUGUUCAUUGUGGCUUCAUUCACAAUAGCCAGAAACUGGAAACAACUUAGAUGUCCCUCAACAGAAGAAUAAACAGUAUGUGGUACAUUUAUACAAUGGAGCUGUUAGAAAAAUGACAUCAUGAAAUUUGUAGGCAAAUGGAUGGAACUAGAAAAAAUCAUUCUGAGUGAGUUAACCCAGACCUAGAAAGACAAAUAUGAUCAGUGCCUUAUCAUCAGAGAAGCUUCCUUUGGCAGCAGAUGGGAACAGAUGCAGAGGCCCACAGCCAGACAUUAUUUUGGGGGAAGAGUUUAAUUUGGAGGUCUCCCUCAAAUUCCUUCCCCUCAGAGCUCAGGGAAUCCCACAGAAGAGGAGGCAGAAAGACUGUAAGAGCCAGAGGGGAAGGAGAACACCAAGAGAACAAGGACCUCUGAAUGAACUAAGCAAGUAAACCAAUGAUUUGGACUUUGAGAAAAAUGUCAGCAAAAUAGGAAGAAAGAAGAUGCACAAGAAGGUGCUAUGGGACACGGCACGGAACACACAGAUUAUGAUUUCCUUUGUGUGGAGAAAAGAUAACAGCACCUCAAUUUUCUUAUGUAUCAUCCCAUGUUUUCUCUUCUCUAAUGCAAAUUCUGAUCAUUCCUGAUGAAUAAUGGAUUUGGAGUUUUAAACAACUAGUUGCUCAGAAUGGAAGACUCUUCAAUACUGCUUAAAAAAACAAGAACAUUGGCCUGGUAUUCUAGUUUAUAGCCGGAGGCACUGAACAGCUAGGCCAGAGGCACAGCUGCUGGAAUGAGGAUAAUUUGAAAUCACAGAAGAGGAGAAGACAUGCCUGGAGCUCACAACUCUUCAUAGGCAGAGGCCAGCUUGAGCUCUGGCUUCAGACAUGGAGACUAGCGCAGAUAGCGCCCUUUCCCUCCCUGUCCGACUGCUGAGCUGGCUUUCCUAACCACUCCAGAUUCAUCUGCAUUGUUCUUGUGCCCAUUAAAGAGCAUCUUCAGAGUG